CCUACGGGAGGCAGCAGUGGGGAAUAUUGGACAAUGGGGGAAACCCUGAUGCAGCGACGCCGCGUGAAGGAAGAAGUAUUUCGGUAUGUAAAAUUCUAUUAGCAGGGAAGCAAAUGACGGUACCUGACUAAGAAGCCCCGGCUAACUACGUGCCAGCAGCCGCGGUAAUACGUAGGGGGCCAGCGUGAUCCGGAUUUACUGGGUGUAAAGGGAGCGUAGGCGGGGAUGCAAGUCAGGAGUGAAAGGCCGGGGUUCAACUCCUGGACUGCCUUUGAAACUGUGUUUCUAGAGUGCAGGAGAGGUAAGUGGAAUUCCUAGUGUAGCGGUGAAAUGCGUAGAUAUUAGGAGGAACACCAGUGGCGAAGGCGGCUUACUGGACUGUAAAUGACGCUGAGGCUCGAAAGCGUGGGGAGCGAACAGGAUUAGAUACCCCGGUAGUC
This 440-nucleotide ribosomal RNA is filed under the name uncultured bacterium. RNAcentral describes it as "partial 16S ribosomal RNA". It matches the Rfam family "Bacterial small subunit ribosomal RNA", at positions 338 to 795 of the family's 1533-position model. The record is from RNAcentral.